GAAAUGCGAUAAGUAAUGUGAAUUGCAGAAUUCAGUGAAUCAUCGAAUCUUUGAACGCACAUUGCGCCCGUCGGCAUUCCGGCGGGCAUGCCUGUUCGAGCGUCAUUGCAAACUCUCAAGCUGAACUUGUUUGAAAUUCGGCUUGGUUUUGGGCGAGCUUGUCCUCAGGUCGAAGGUGUCCCGCGUUUGGCUUUCGCCGACGGGCCCGCGACCCGCCCCAAAUUCUGACUUCCCGGUCGGAUGGCCGUCGGAUUUUCGUACCCGUCGCCCCAAUCGCAGAGCGUUGUAAUACCUUUUCCCGCUCUUUACGUUAGGGGUCCACUCGUGCGAGCCGUACUGUCCUUCCACCGGAGGGAAGUGGUGUCCUCCGGGACCCAAAAAUCUUAUCGAGUUUGACCUCGGAUCAGGUAGGAAUACCCGCUGAACUUAAGC
Molecule: unclassified non-coding RNA, 432 nt
Filed under: plant metagenome
Description: partial contains 5.8S ribosomal RNA, internal transcribed spacer 2, and large subunit ribosomal RNA
Rfam family: 5.8S ribosomal RNA (bases 1-105)
Source: RNAcentral